RNAcentral lists this ribosomal RNA (545 nucleotides) under Bacillus sp. B 18 RR-2016. RNAcentral describes it as "bacterial SSU rRNA". It matches the Rfam family "Bacterial small subunit ribosomal RNA", at positions 385 to 919 of the family's 1533-position model. Lineage: Bacteria; Bacillati; Bacillota; Bacilli; Caryophanales; Bacillaceae. The record is from RNAcentral.
GACGGAGCACGCCGCGUGAGUGAUGAAGGUUUUCGGAUCGUAAAGCUCUGUUGUUAGGGAAGAACAAGUACCGUUCGAAUAGGGCGGUACCUUGACGGUACCUAACCAGAAAGCCACGGCUAACUACGUGCCAGCAGCCGCGGUAAUACGUAGGUGGCAAGCGUUGUCCGGAAUUAUUGGGCGUAAAGGGCUCGCAGGCGGUUUCUUAAGUCUGAUGUGAAAGCCCCCGGCUCAACCGGGGAGGGUCAUUGGAAACUGGGGAACUUGAGUGCAGAAGAGGAGAGUGGAAUUCCACGUGUAGCGGUGAAAUGCGUAGAGAUGUGGAGGAACACCAGUGGCGAAGGCGACUCUCUGGUCUGUAACUGACGCUGAGGAGCGAAAGCGUGGGGAGCGAACAGGAUUAGAUACCCUGGUAGUCCACGCCGUAAACGAUGAGUGCUAAGUGUUAGGGGGUUUCCGCCCCUUAGUGCUGCAGCUAACGCAUUAAGCACUCCGCCUGGGGAGUACGGUCGCAAGACUGAAACUCAAAGGAAUUUUGACGGAAA